AGUGAACGCGGCGGCGUGCCUAAUACAUGCAAGUCGAACGGACAAGUAAGAGCUUGCUCUUAUGAGUUAGUGGCGCACGGGUGAGUAAUAUAUAGCUAAUCUGCCCUACACUAGAGGACAACAGUUGGAAACGGCUGCUAAUACUCUAUACUCCUAUCUUACAUAAGUUAGAUAGGGAAAGUUUUUCGGUGUAGGAUGAGGCUAUAUUGUAUCAGCUAGUUGGUGAGGUAAUGGCUCACCAAGGCUAUGACGCAUAACUGGUCUGAGAGGAUGAUCAGUCACACUGGAACUGAGACACGGUCCAGACUCCUACGGGAGGCAGCAGUAGGGAAUAUUGCUCAAUGGGGGAAACCCUGAAGCAGCAACGCCGCGUGGAGGAUGACACUUUUCGGAGCGUAAACUCCUUUUGUUAGGGAAG
This 418-nucleotide ribosomal RNA is filed under the name Campylobacter concisus. RNAcentral describes it as "bacterial SSU rRNA". It matches the Rfam family "Bacterial small subunit ribosomal RNA", at positions 29 to 447 of the family's 1533-position model. Lineage: Bacteria; Pseudomonadati; Campylobacterota; Epsilonproteobacteria; Campylobacterales; Campylobacteraceae. The record is from RNAcentral.